GUCCACGGCCACACCACCCUGAACGAGCCCGGUCUCGUCUGAUCUCGGAAGCUAAGCAGGGUCGGGGCUGGUUAGUACUUGGAUGGGAUUCCGCCUGGGAAUACCGGGCUGUAGGCU
This 117-nucleotide ribosomal RNA is filed under the name Pteropus alecto (black flying fox). Lineage: Eukaryota; Metazoa; Chordata; Mammalia; Chiroptera; Pteropodidae. The record is from RNAcentral.